CAAGGAUUGCUAAUACCGCAUAUGUAUGUACUCGGACACGAGUGUAUAUGAAAGGAGUAAUCCGUCUUAAGAUGAGUCUGCGUCCGAUUAGCUAGUUGUAGGGUAAAAGCCUACCAAGGCGACGAUCGGUAGCUGGUCUGAGAGGAUGACCAGCCACAAUGGGACUGAGACACGGCCCAU
This 180-nucleotide ribosomal RNA is filed under the name uncultured Chromatiales bacterium. Its description in RNAcentral is "partial 16S ribosomal RNA". It matches the Rfam family "Bacterial small subunit ribosomal RNA", at positions 154 to 334 of the family's 1533-position model. The record is from RNAcentral. Lineage: Bacteria; Pseudomonadati; Pseudomonadota; Gammaproteobacteria; Chromatiales.